This 251-nucleotide long non-coding RNA is filed under the name Phoenix dactylifera (date palm). RNAcentral describes it as "long non-coding RNA (PDAC_LNC001858)". The record is from RNAcentral. Lineage: Eukaryota; Viridiplantae; Streptophyta; Magnoliopsida; Arecales; Arecaceae.
GUGCAGGAUUUUUCUCACCAGAUCACAGCUCUUUUUCUGUCUCUGUCCCCAUGACACGUGCUCCUGCGACCUAGUCCGAGUACUGGUCCUCGCCUAGGGUGGCUAAAACUCCGAGGAAACUGGUAAAGAGUGUAAAAGCGAAUGAACAGGACAAGCACAGACUGACCGAGGUACGAAUAUUUGUUCAACGGUAAACAGUGAUAGGUAGCAUACUGGGCGGGCCCAAACCCAACUCUCAGGCCUUUUUUAUU